AUUUUGAAGUCAACACAGUCGCUACAGUCCCAUUAGUUUUCUUUGUAGCCUCGUUUGAAUGUUGCGGUUGCACACAUUUGUACGGAAUGGGGGAUGAUGAUGCAAUCCUUGCAAGAGGGAGGGAAUCUGAUUACAUAUUGGUCCUCAACUCACAACUCUGUCAUUUCAUUCAGGGUUAUUAAGAGGCCCACAGCGAUAGAAGACUGUAGCUGUGUACACAGAUUUCUGAAGAGGAAAGCCGUUUUCUUGCCUGAUACAUGUUUCUUCAUUUGAGCAAAAUGAAGUUACUCAGCCACUCCCAAAAACUGCUGUGUUGUUUGCCUAGUGCUCGUCUUAAAAGGGACAGAUUUAAUUUCCUUACAUAGGACUGGACUCUCUGCUCUCUAAUAUUUAUUAUCUUCUGUUCUCUACUAAAUAAUAGCCUUCUGCUCAUAUAGUGUAAAUAGGGUUACCCAUGCUUCUGUAUGAAAUAGCAGAAGAAUUGCUGGUGGAGUGAGAUCUGUCCUCCUUCCUCUAAGUGGUGCAAUAGUAGUGACUAGGACACUGGACAGGCAGUAAGAAUUCACCCCAGACUAUCAGGCAUAAGUUCCACAGUUUCAAGUGCCACAGGACAGCAGUCAGCUGUAUGCACCAAACCACUUAGAAUCAUAAUUGCAAGAAGCAAACAAACACUGUAACACAUUCCAGAGAGUCACUCACACAUACCAAAUAACUUUUUACGUUUCAUUUGCUGAAAUCUGUGAUGCAACCUUUUAUACUUUUAAAAUGUAUUUUACCAAACAUUCAUUAGCAAAAGCACGCACACACCAAUUUUAGUAACAUGCAUUUGAAUUUCAAAGUGAGUAUUUAACCAACACCUUAGUUAUUUUAGUGCCUGGAUUUCACUGAGUAGACUCCAUGAAUAUCCUAGAUGUUUUGGAGAGCUGACCAUCAACAUGGUUAUUUCAAGGUUAAACCAACCUAAUUUUCCAUGACAGUGUAUGUGUGGGCUGGAGAAAAUACUGGCAAAACCCAAUGCGUUUUAAUUAACCACUACAUAACAUUGAUAUGCAUGUACAUGCGUGAAGCAGAAUCACUCUAAGGUACAUCUUUUGAUGUUAACAAAGGAAGACAAAUUGUGUCCCCACCAGCCCAGCCUUCAAAUCAUAAACUGUACUAUAGAGUGCAGUACUGAUCAAAACCUAUUCUUGUCGAUUUAUGACCUCUGUUUUCUAUCCCUUUGAGCGUUGUAGACAGGGCUUUGAGAGAGUAGUAAAUUACCGGUAUGCGCUAUUAAGUGUGCAUUGGACGUUGAGAGAUUCCUGUUGCAAGCUUGAAAAAGGACAAAUGGAUUCUGAAAGUGGUUUUUCUAAGAAAUUAGAACAAAAGGGAGAAUGUAAUCAAAAUGAAGGCUUAUGUGGACAGUGCUUAGUCCUUUUCAUACCAUUGUGCAAUUUUUGUGCAAUUUUUAUUCUGGGCAGUAAUUUAUUCUGUAAUCUUUGCCUGCCAAGAGGAUAAAAACAACACUGUUUAAGAAUUUUCUCUCUAUGCAGAGAGUCUGACAAAUGGUAAAUCAGAAUAAUUAUGUACACAUUUUUUUCUGCUAGGCUUUCCAUCUACUUACUUUGUAUGUAUGUUCCCUAUAACUUUGAUUCACAAUGCCUACCAUGAGACAGUAUACACAAUAAUAAUUAUAUUCAUGAAGUUACUAAAGUGGACUACCCCGUCUCUCCAGAAGUGUAAUUCAACACAAUUCAACUAUGAAAAAGUAGCAAAGGUAGCAGAAAAAAAAGUUGAUGAGAUGCUGCCACUGAUGAUGCCCUGAUGCACUGUGGGAAGGUGUGGGCCGCCUAAGUGUACAUUGCACAUUUGAGGAGUUAACGUACCUCAACCAAUGAAUAAUAUUACACUCAUCUUGAUUCUAGGUCAUACUUUUACACUCUUUGUAUGUUCUUUGAAUAAAGCUAUCUUCAUUGCACACUGGUUUCCACAUUUAACACAAUCAAAGUCAGAAGUUAGUGUAGCCACACGUCACAUAACACAUUUGUGCCAUUAAGGAAGCUUUGGGUACCAAUAAGAAAGCUUGACCACGAAAGAGGAUUCCAGCAAAGAAGAAAGAAAACUGGAACGCUCCAUAUAAAUUAAGCAAAACCGAAAGAAUAACACCCAACACAUUAUUGAAUUCAGAGAACAUGAGACAAUUCGCAAAAAAGAGCACGUAGCAUUUAAUAUAAAACACCUCAGACAUAGGAAGUGUUUCAUUAUAGAUGAGGGUCUGAGUGAGAGAUAUGGCAGGGGGGGACUCCAUCUUGGUACAAGCCUUUUCCACCUUAUCUGAUUAGCCCAAACCUAAAUGAUAUUAAUUGGUGAUGUGAUAUCCCCCAGUUCGCUCCGCGGAUGGACGACUAAAUGAAUCAUCCCACCCCUUCUCUCCUGAUGACUUAUCAGAUCUGACAUGUUUGUAUGAUAAAUGUAAUUGCGUUUAUUUUGGGCCUCCACUGCUGUCUGCUGAAGGAGAUCGCAUUACUCAUUCAUUUGAAUGAUUCCCCUUCAUUUAAAACAAAGCAACUUAAUUCUGGAAGGUCCAAAAGAGUAUAAUAUGUUUUUCUGCAUGAAUAAUAUAAUAAUUAAGGGAAGAACUGAGGUGAAACUGCUUUGGGAAACUUUGGGUUAAAAUGCUUGACCACUAAAAAUUCUUUAGGCAUCCAGUGAAAGUCUCGAGCUGAAUGACAAAACUAUGAUGUUGACCUUUGCUCAUUAUUUGCCAUACAAGUUCUGUACACCCAGAGGCAUGGAAAUGGCUACAGCUAAAAAUAAGAGUGACCUUUUUGGUAUGAGUUAGACCGAGACACUUUAAGUACACUCUGGUAAAAUAAUAUGAACCAAACAUGUAAAGUAUAGGAGGAUUUUGUUGCUAUGCUUCACAUGGGAAUACCUUCCUUAAAUAUGGAUUGUAUGUCCUCAGUCUAUUGAAGUCUGAACUAUUGACCCAAACCACAUUGUCAUUGAUCCAAGUAAUGUGGACUCUGAGAUAGUGUCAAU
This is a long non-coding RNA of Oncorhynchus kisutch (coho salmon), 3021 nucleotides long. RefSeq lists it as uncharacterized. The record is from RefSeq and is a predicted model, not a curated record. Lineage: Eukaryota; Metazoa; Chordata; Actinopteri; Salmoniformes; Salmonidae. The transcript has 3 exons.